RNAcentral lists this ribosomal RNA (497 nucleotides) under uncultured bacterium. Its description in RNAcentral is "partial 16S ribosomal RNA". It matches the Rfam family "Bacterial small subunit ribosomal RNA", at positions 28 to 507 of the family's 1533-position model. The record is from RNAcentral.
GAUGAACGCUGGCGGCGUGCCUAAUACAUGCAAGUCGAGCGAACAGACGAGGAGCUUGCUCCUCUGACGUUAGCGGCGGACGGGUGAGUAACACGUGGAUAACCUACCUAUAAGACUGGGAUAACUUCGGGAAACCGGAGCUAAUACCGGAUAAUAUAUUGAACCGCAUGGUUCAAUAGUGAAGGACGGUUUUGCUGUCACUUAUAGAUGGAUCCGCGCCGCAUUAGCUAGUUGGUAAGGUAACGGCUUACCAAGGCAACGAUGCGUAGCCGACCUGAGAGGGUGAUCGGCCACACUGGAACUGAGACACGGUCCAGACUCCUACGGGAGGCAGCAGUAGGGAAUCUUCCGCAAUGGGCGAAAGCUUGACGGAGCAACGCCGCGUGAGUGAUGAAGGUCUUCGGAUCGUAAAACUCUGUUAUUAGGGAAGAACAAAUGUGUAAGUAACUAUGCAUGUCUUGACGGUACCUAAUCAGAAAGCCACGGCUAACUACGUG